This 75-nucleotide transfer RNA is filed under the name Escherichia coli. RNAcentral describes it as "tRNA-Thr". It matches the Rfam family "tRNA". Rfam says of the family: Transfer RNA (tRNA) molecules are approximately 80 nucleotides in length. Their secondary structure includes four short double-helical elements and three loops (D, anti-codon, and T loops). Further hydrogen bonds mediate the characteristic L-shaped molecular structure. tRNAs have two regions of fundamental functional importance: the anti-codon, which is responsible for specific mRNA codon recognition, and the 3' end, to which the tRNAs corresponding amino acid is attached (by aminoacyl-tRNA synthetases). tRNAs cope with the degeneracy of the genetic code in two manners: having more than one tRNA (with a specific anti-codon) for a particular amino acid; and 'wobble' base-pairing, i.e. permitting non-standard base-pairing at the 3rd anti-codon position. Lineage: Bacteria; Pseudomonadati; Pseudomonadota; Gammaproteobacteria; Enterobacterales; Enterobacteriaceae. The record is from RNAcentral.
GCGGGCAUCGUAUAAUGGCUAUUACCUCAGCCUACUAAGCUGAUGAUGCGGGUUCGAUUCCCGCUGCCCGCUCCA